UCAUGCAAUAAAUAAAAAUUUAAAUUUCACAUGUUUAAAAAUUUAUUUAUUUUUUUAUUCCUAAGGACUCCUAAUUGGGUAACACCAUUGGACAAAUAUUUUUGAUUAAAAUCCUUUACUAUUCAAAAAAAAAAUUACUAAAAAAAUGCUAAGGACUCCAAUGGUAGUAACACCAUUCGAGAUGCUCUAACAUAUAUUUUCCAAAACAGUUAAGAAAUAAGUUAAUUGUAGUUUUUUUUUUCCUUUCAACUUUGUGUGUGUGUUUCAGUCUGAGCUAGAUCUCCAAUCACCAGGCCCGUCUCAACUCCUAAAAGGGUCAUGUGCCAUAAAAAAAUUUAAAACUCAUUUCCUUAUACAAAAAUUACUUCUAAACAUUUAGGCCCUAAUCUAAGCUAAAAAAACCCAAAAAUUUCAACAGGCCUUGUGCAAAUGUGUCUCCAGCACAUGCUUAGGACCGGGCCUGCCAAUCACAAUAAUAUUUUUGAAUAUAUGGUUGAUUCAGUGUGGAAAUUUUCAAAUGUAGUUAGUUGUUCUUAGAAAGGUAGAGUAUCGAGUUACAAUUGUUGUGUUGAAGGAUUUGAAAUACAUUAGAGUGUGUUGCUGUCUAGUAUCACUUUGGUGCAAUGGAUCUUUAUUCCGAUAGUCAACCAUUGCUACAUAUCGUGGUUGAUCCCGGCCCAUGUUUCAAACGUAAAAUCUGAUUGUCAUUUCAUCAAAGACAAGAUACAAGUCGAGAUUUUUAGGACAAAAUACUUUUCUAUGACUAUAACCGAACAAUUGGUGGAUAUCUUCACGAAAGCAUUUCGUAAACGACUUUUUCAGACGAUUAUAUCCAAGUUGAGCAUUUUCGAUCUCUAUAUUCCAACUUGAAGUGAUGUUAAGAAAUACAACUUUAUCAUGUAUUGUAGUGGUACAUAUUUCAGGUUUAGAGAUAAUUUUAUUAUGAGAAUAUCUAUAUAACUUAGACAAAUGAUUGUACACCUUUGAAAGAUCAUAAUAACAUUCUCUUUGUAUCUUUCUUACCACGGUGUUGCAAUUGGAUGUUUUGAUAGAGGAAGAUGUAAACUUCAAGUAUUGUGUUACAAAAAAAGAAAAAGAAGUAAACUUCAAGUACAAUCACCCGACUUUUAGGAUCGAUUAAACUCGUUUGUGAGUGACAUCAGUUGACAACUUGCAAAAAGAACACAGCGUUAUUCUUUACAUUUGGCAAUACCAACACUAAACAAUCUAAUUCUGUAGAGUUUACCGCAUAAUUAUUGAGAAUGUAUUAUAGAAGGCUUUUUGUCAAUUUAAAAUAUGUUUCCCCUCUAUAUGUGAAGCAUUGAAUUCUUUUAUUUGAUGGGAUAUAAACACUGUUUAGUCUGUUUAAACAAAUUCAAAGAUUCUGAACUCAUUACGUUGCAUAGAUAAGGGAAUCAUAGAUAAACACAACCAAAUUGAUAAAACAACAAGAAUCAUCAAAGAACAUCACUGAAAAAAAAAAACAGAGAACAAAAAAACUUAAAGAUUAGAGCAGGAGCCGAUAUAACACCUUUGUAGGUUCGAAGAGGAUCAAGCCUAUCCAUGACUUGCCGGUUCAACCCCACCGCUUUAGCCGGGCCAGUUUGGAGAAUCAACACAACCAUCGGUUAAUCAAGAGCAGGGAGUGAACAUUGUAUUUUUUAAGCUUCCAUGAAAGCUUAUCUGAAGCUCCCCAUUUGGUUUCAACCUUCUAACUUUUAUCCAAUUUAAGGAGAUAUUGAUUAAGCUUCCAUGGCUAAAAAUGGGGAGAGAGAGCCUGUCUUCCUACUUCUUGUCUUUUUAUAGAAUUUUUCUCUACUUUUUUAAAAGGAAAUUUGAUUCUUGUUUUUGAUUAAAAAAUUCUUGUUCAUAACCAAAAAAAAAAAAAAAAAAAAACUACGUGUAACUUUAUUUUGUUAUUGGAGAGGUAGUAAAUGUUAAAAAGGUUAAAACCAAUAAUACGAGUCUAGGUAAAUUACUGUUUACAAUGAUUAAUUUAUACGCAAAAAAAAAAAAAAAAGGUCUCGAGUGCAUGGAGGGACCCCAAGUCCACAACCAAUCGCUUUAAUUGUGGUGGAUCAACUGCUUGUUUGUCUAUUUUCAAUUGGAGGCUCAUCGUUUAAAUUUAUUUAUUUUGUUAUUUUGUACUCUGUUAUGAAUAUUUCUACGAAAUUCUGACUAUACUUCCACUAAAAGUCACAGUUGGCUUUUUAGAACAUGUUAAAAGCAUAAAGUAAUUUUACUAUUAGCUCUGCUGCAAAUGGCUUUUUAGAACAUGUUAAAAGCAUAAAAUAAUUUUACUAUUGGCUCUGCUGCAAAUAUUGAGAAAUCUCUAACAAACAUGAAAAUAAUAAGAAAAUAGACAUUUGACUUGUAUAUUUUAUAUUUGUUUUCUUAAACGCAAUUUACUCUCAUUAUACACUCAACUUGUUCAACUGCAAACGAUGAUAAAUAAAUAAAUAAAUAUAUAUAUAUAUAUAUAUAUAUAUAUAUAUAUAUAUAUAUAUAUAUAUAUAUAUAUAUAUAUAUAUAUAUAUCUUCUUUGAUAAAAACAUAAACAACAAUAUCACAUGAAGUUAAUGAAGAUAAUUCUUCAUAAGAAAAUGACAUCAAGUUCGAGACAAAGAGAGCCUCCAGAACAAAGUCGGACAGUUGAAAGUUAGUCCCAUUGAAUUGUGACCUUGAAAGCCAACCUUACAUGCAAGAAAAGUCGAAGUAUUUUCCGAUUGCAUCUUUUGAUUUCAUACAGACCGCUAUAUACGAUGAUAAACUGGUGAGUAACCUGAAACUAUUGUUUGACAAAGAAUCUGAGAAGAUUUCUCAUGUAUAGAAGUAUGGUAGUAAUAUACUUUUCUCGCUCGAGAAAGAUGAUGAAAACAAAACUGGAUCCGAUGAACCCAUCAAAAAUCUUUAGGGAUAUGGUAAAACAACCAAAUGCAUAAGACAUAAUAUGGGUAGGUCUCGAUGAACUCACCGGAAAUCCUUUCGAUCAAACUGAAACUUGUAUCAGCCACGCUGUCAAGAAUCCAUUUCUGCAUCAUAUCAUUUGUUUCAAAUUUAGUGACAAAGCGACAUAGUUUUGAUAUUUAUUAAAUAGCUAACGUUUGUCUUGUCAUUUAUACACAAUGUUCUAUGUUGAGGAUUGAUCAUCACUUCAUAGAUUGACCUAUAGAAUUUAGAAUUCACAAAAUAAAUUGCAAAACAAAAAACACAUUGAGGAAUUUUUCUUCUGAAAACUCUAAUAAAAAUAAUUAAAAAAAAGAUAUAUAAAAAAAGAAAUUAGCAUAAUUGUGAGGAAACCUAUCUUAAUUAGGGGAAAGAAGAGACGCGUCUUCUGAGACACGUGUUGUGUUUUGUGGAAAUUUUUCUCUCUCUCGACGGAAGCACUUCAUGUCUCUCUCCCUCGCUCCAUUUCGUCGAAAUCACUCCGUCUCUCUAUCUCUCCUCGACGACUCCGCCGGUGAUUUCUUCAUCUGCCAACGAUCGGAUGAAGGAUUCGGCUUCUCUCUCGUCGGACUCGUCGUCUCUGUCGGUGGACUCCAUGUCUGUCUUGGUGGAAUCGUCGUCUCUCUCUCUCUCCUCGACGACUCCGCGUCUCUCUCGCUCUCUUCGACGACUCCGUGUCUCUCUCGGUCUCCUUGACGACUCCACAUCUCUCUCGGUCUCCUCGACGACUCCGCGUCUCUCUCGCUCUCCUCAACGGCUCACCUCGUUGAAGAAUCACUCCAUCUCUCUCUCUCUCCAGCCUGUGGCUCUCCUCGAAAGGUAAAGCUAUGUAUUUUUCCUUUUAUGUCUGAAUCCUUCUUUGUUAUUUUGAUUUGUUUGUUGUGUUGCAUGCGUCUCUUGUGUUUGUUUAUGUCUCCUGAUUCAAGAGAUGAUGUUUUUGUCUUUGUUUCUUAAUCCUUCUUGUGAUUGUUUAUGUCUCUGUCUUUGUUUAUAUCGAUCACUUCUGAUUCAAUAGAUGAUGUCUUCUGAUAAAUAUAUCGAUCAGUUCUUGUAUUUGUUUACGUCUCUGUCUUUGAUUCAACAUAUUAUGUCUCUUUGUGUACACUUAAAUUUCUCAGUCUUUUUUUCUUAAUCCUUCUUGUGUCUGAUCCUUCUUGUCUUGAUUAUGUUUCUUGCGUUUCCGUUUCAGAUGGACGGAUCAAGAGACAUGAAGGUUCUUCAAAGAAGAGGACUGUGGUCUGGACGGAUCAAGAGACAAUGGCUAUUUCAGGUUUGACAUAUAUCUUUGAUCUGUUAGAUGUUUUUAGGAUUGUGAUCUGGAACGAAUUGAUUGUGAAUCUCAUCUGAAAUGAAUUGAUUGCGAAUCUGGUUAAGUGUCUAGAACGAAUUGAUUGUCAGUGGCUUGGAACGAAUUGAAAUGAGUUAGAUAGAAAUGAGUUACAUAGAAUUGUUUCAGUGUGAUUAAUGAGUUAGAUAGAAAUCAAUGUUUAAGUGUGAUUAAUGAGUUAGCUAUAUGUCAAGUCGAUGUGGUUGUGGGUGUGAUGAAUGCGUUUAGCUUUCUCUCUUCUAUUAAACACAAGCCUUCUUUUCUUCCAUCUUUCAAACUCGCCCUCCUUUCUUUUUUGUCAUAUCUUCCAUCUAUAUUCUUAGACAUAUUCAGAUAUGGAUUCUAAUCCAAAUAUGAAUUUAAAUUUUGUUGAUCUUCUUCAAAAUCAACAAGAUAGUGGCAUCGGUUUCGAAUCUUCUCAUAUUCCUUUAUUUGGCACACAAGCUACUGAUGGUUCAAACUUCGAACAAGACAGUCCAGUGGAGCGUAAAGAAUGAAGGACGUGGACGCCAACAGAUGAUGUAGCCCUCAUCAGCUCUUGGUUAAACACGAGCAAAAAUCUCGUUGUAGGGAAUGAGCAAAGGUCUGUUGCUUUCUGGAAAAGGAUUGCAGCCUACUACUCGGCUAGUCCUAAGAUUGUUGAGUGUGACAAAAGAGAGGCAUCAAAUAGUAAACAACGUUGGCACAAGAUUAAUGACUAAGUGUGCAAGUUUUGUGGAGCGUAUGAAGCAACAACCAGAGAGAAAACCAGUGGUCAAAACGAGAAUGUUGUUCUCAAACAUGCUCUCGAAAUCUUCUUCAACAACCAUAAAAAGAAGUUCACCCUUGAACAUGCUUGGAAGGAGAUUCGCAAUUACCAGAAGUGGUGUGACCUGUCUUCAUCUACAAGUGAAGGAAGCUCCAAAAGGAGGAAGUGUGAGGACGGUUCAUAUUUAGCAUGCUCUCAAGCAAAUGAAACCGAUAGUGCUUUAGCUGAUGAAGGAACCACUCGUCCCACGGGUGUUAAGGCAGCAAAAGCCCGUGGGAAAAAACCGAUGGUUGAGGGGAAGGAGCUGUCUAAGUUUCAGACUAUGUGGAAAAUCAAGCAGCAUGAUUUGGCUAUGAAGGAAAAGCUGUCAAAGAUGAAGCUUCUGGACAGUCUCAUUGCAAAAUAAGAACUGCUAGCUGAUUAUGAAGAAGCUCUGAAGAAGAAGUUGAUUAAUGAGUUGAUGUCUAAUUAGAUGAAGUCUAAGUCUCGGUUUUUAAAGUCUAAGUGUAGCUGUUGAAGUUGCUUUGUUUGUUGUUUGUUGCUGUAACUCUGGUUGUGUUUCAUGUUCUCUUGUCUUAAUAUAAGCUUGUUCUCUUGUCUUAAUAUAAGCUUGUUCUGUAAUGUUCUUGUGUUCAUUGUUCUGCUCAUUGUUUUGCAGGUCAAGAAGAUUGAAAAAUUGUAGCUCAUUGUACAUGUCCAGUUUUGUCACUUUGUUUCAAGACAUUGGGAGCAUUGAGAGCUUCUUAUGUCACGGAGUGGGAGCAUUGAGUGGUUGUCACAUGUAUUGUGUGUCGUUGGUUGUCACAUGUUUAUGUCCUGUAGUGGGAGCAUUAAGAGCUAUGUUUGUUAUGUACAUAAAGACAUUGUACUUGUGUGUCGUUGUUGUCACAUGUUUAUGUCUUGUAGUAUGUCACAGACUUGUAAAGAACACUUGUAACAAACACUUGUGUCUAUAUAACAAACCCUCUCGACUUGUAACAAACAUUUGUAACAAACACUCUUGCUUUCUCUCUUUUUCUCUCUUAAAUCAACAUUCACUCUUCCCAUUCACAACAAGAAUUUUUAUCCACAACACCAAAGUCAUCUUAUCUCUUUAAUCACAACACUCUUUCUUUAAUCACAACAUAUAUACAUAUAUAUAUAUAUAUGGCUUCUUCUUCUAAAAACACUUUAGAGGAAUCAUUUGAUGAUACAUUUGAUCAAAUCUUUGAUCAACAUUUUGAUCAAACAUUUGAGAAUUUUACCAUUCAUGGUGAUCAAGAAGAACAAAAGAAAAAAAAAACGAGCUUCUAUCGAAAGAAAUCGUAAAGAAUGUCAUGUACGUUUAUGGAAUGAUUAUUUCAGUGAAACUCCAACG
Brassica rapa (field mustard) is the source of this 6378-nucleotide long non-coding RNA. RefSeq lists it as uncharacterized. The record is from RefSeq and is a predicted model, not a curated record. Lineage: Eukaryota; Viridiplantae; Streptophyta; Magnoliopsida; Brassicales; Brassicaceae.